GGACAGGUGGCCGAGUGGCUGAAGGCACCGGUUUGCUAAACCGACGUAGGGGGAAACCUCUACCGCGGGUUCGAAUCCCGCCCUGUCCG
This 89-nucleotide transfer RNA is filed under the name Planctomycetota bacterium. Its description in RNAcentral is "tRNA-Ser". It matches the Rfam family "tRNA". Rfam says of the family: Transfer RNA (tRNA) molecules are approximately 80 nucleotides in length. Their secondary structure includes four short double-helical elements and three loops (D, anti-codon, and T loops). Further hydrogen bonds mediate the characteristic L-shaped molecular structure. tRNAs have two regions of fundamental functional importance: the anti-codon, which is responsible for specific mRNA codon recognition, and the 3' end, to which the tRNAs corresponding amino acid is attached (by aminoacyl-tRNA synthetases). tRNAs cope with the degeneracy of the genetic code in two manners: having more than one tRNA (with a specific anti-codon) for a particular amino acid; and 'wobble' base-pairing, i.e. permitting non-standard base-pairing at the 3rd anti-codon position. Lineage: Bacteria; Pseudomonadati; Planctomycetota. The record is from RNAcentral. RNAcentral also lists the same sequence under 1 other name.